ACUCAAAUGAAUUGACGGGGACCCGCACAAGCGGUGGAGCAUGUGGUUUAAUUCGACGGUAAGCGAGGAACCUUACCAAGGCUUGACAUGUACCUGCAUACGUCUGGAAACAGCGUAGCCUUCGAGGGUGGUACACAGGUGCUGCACGGUUGUCGUCAGCUCGUGCCGUGAGGUGUUCACUUAAGUGUGAAAACGAGCGCAACCCCUAUUAUCUGUUACAUGUGUCAGAUGAAACUGCCAGCGUUUAAGCUGGAGGAAGGUGGGGAUGACGUCAAAUCAGCGUGGCUCUUACGCCUUGGGCGACACACGUGCUACAAUGGGUAGAAACAAAGGGACGCCAAGGAGCAAUCCGGAGCAAAUCCUAUCAAAGCUACCCCCAGUUCGGAUUGAGGGCUGCAACUCGCCCUCAUGAAGCCGGAAUCGCUAGUAACCGUAUAUCAGCCUCGAUACGGUGAAUACGUUCUCGGGUUUUGUACACACCGCCCGU
This 487-nucleotide ribosomal RNA is filed under the name uncultured bacterium. Its description in RNAcentral is "partial 16S ribosomal RNA". It matches the Rfam family "Bacterial small subunit ribosomal RNA", at positions 899 to 1397 of the family's 1533-position model. The record is from RNAcentral.